Molecule: ribosomal RNA, 1246 nt
Filed under: metagenome
Description: bacterial LSU rRNA
Rfam family: Bacterial large subunit ribosomal RNA
Source: RNAcentral
UGAGUACGAGAUGCUACGGCAUCGAAGCAGUCUAUGUCAUACUUCCAAGAAAAGCUUGCAAUGUCAUAAACAAAUAAUGCCUGUACCAUAACCGACACAGGUGGGUAGGUAGAGUAUACUAAGGGGCGCGAGAUAACUCUCUCUAAGGAACUCGGCAAAAUGACUCCGUAACUUCGGGAGAAGGAGUGCCUUAUUUUUAUAAGGUUGCAAUAACAAGAUCCAAGCAACUGUUUACCAAAAACACAGGUCUCCGCUAAGUCGUAAGACGAUGUAUGGGGGCUGACGCCUGCCCAGUGCCAGAAGGUUAAAGAAGUUGGUUAGCAUUAGCGAAGCUGAUAACUGAAGCCCUGGUGAACGGCGGCCGUAACUAUAACGGUCCUAAGGUAGCGAAAUUCCUUGUCGGGUAAGUUCCGACCCGCACGAAAGGCGUAAUGAUUUGGAUACUGUCUCGGAGAGGGGCUCGGUGAAAUAGACUUGUCUGUGAAGAUGCGGACUACCUGCACCUGGACAGAAAGACCCUAUGAAGCUUUACUGUAACUUGAGAUUGAAAUUGGACUUUAUCUGCGCAGUAUAGGUGGGAGACGUUGAAAAUAUUCUUGCGGGAAUAUUGGAGUCAUCAGUGAGAUACCACUCUUAUAAUGUUAGAUUUCUAACUUUGUAUCAUUAUCUGGUCAAAGAACAGUUUCAGGCGGGCAGUUUGACUGGGGCGGUCGCCUCCCAAACGGUAACGGAGGCGCACAAAGGUUUCCUCUGAACGUGUAGAAAUCGUAUCUAGAGUGUAAAGGCAUAAGGAAGCUUGACUGUGAGACCUACAAGUCGAGCAGGGACGAAAGUCGGUCUUAGUGAUCUGACGGUGCUGAGUGGAAAGGCCGUCACUCAACGGAUAAAAGUUACUCUAGGAUAACAGGCUGAUCUCCCCCAAGAGUUCACAUCGACGGGGAGGUUUGGCACCUCGAUGUCGGCUCAUCGCAUCCUGGGGCGGUAGUACGUCCCAAGGGUUGGGCUGUUCGCCCAUGAAAGCGGUACGCGAGCUGGGUUCAGAACGUCGUGAGACAGUUCGGUCCAUAUCCGGUGUAGGCGUUAGAAUAUUGAGAGGAGCCUUCUUUAGUACGAGAGGACCGAGAAGGACAUACCUCUGGUGUACCAGUUAUCGUGCCAACGGUAAACGCUGGGUAGCCAUGUAUGGAGAGGAUAACCGCUGAAAGCAUCUAAGUGGGAAGCCCACCUCAAGAUAAGUAUUCUCAUU